RNAcentral lists this ribosomal RNA (427 nucleotides) under Architrypethelium nitens. RNAcentral describes it as "mitochondrial SSU rRNA". It matches the Rfam family "Bacterial small subunit ribosomal RNA", at positions 397 to 829 of the family's 1533-position model. The record is from RNAcentral. Lineage: Eukaryota; Fungi; Ascomycota; Dothideomycetes; Trypetheliales; Trypetheliaceae.
CAGCAACUUGGAAGAAUGCUUCUUAUUAUAAUAGAAAGAUAAGUUAAGAAUUCAUUAAACUUGAAUAUAAUUCUAGAUAAGCUUUUGAUAAUGACAAAUUUUUAUCUAUUUGUCUUGACCAAAUCUUGUGCCAGCAGUCGCGGCAACACAAGGAAGACUAGUGUUAUUCAUCUUAAAUAGGUUUAAAGGGUACCUAGACGGUAAAUUAGGCCAUAGUUGGAACCUUUUUACUAGAGUUAUACAUGCAGGGGGAUUGUGUCCGUAUUAUCAGAGUAGAGAUGAAAUUUUAUGAUACUGUUAAGACUGGUAAAGGCGAAAGCAAACCUUUAUAUAUUAACUGACGUUGAGGGACGAAGGCUUGGGGCGCGAACAGGAUUAGAUACCCUAAUAGUCCAGGCAGAGAAUUCUGAAUGCCAUAGAUUAUAAU